GACGAACGCUGGCGGCGUGCCUAAUACAUGCAAGUCGAGCGAAUCAGUGGGAGCUUGCUCCCUGAGAUUAGCGGCGGACGGGUGAGUAACACGUGGGUAACCUGCCUGUAAGACUGGGAUAACUUCGGGAAACCGGAGCUAAUACCGGAUACGUUCUUUUCUCGCAUGAGGAGAGAUGGAAAGAUGGUUCUGCUAUCACUUACAGAUGGACCCGCGGCGCAUUAGCUAGUUGGUGAGGUAACGGCUCACCAAGGCGACGAUGCGUAGCCGACCUGGGAGGGUGAUCGGCCACACUGGGACUGAGACACGGCCCAGACUCCUACGGGAGGCAGCAGUAGGGAAUCUUCCGCAAUGGACGAAAGUCUGACGGAGCAACGCCGCGUGAGCGAAGAAGGCCUUCGGGUCGUAAAGCUCUGUUGUUAGGGAAGAACAAGUACGAGAGUAACUGCUCGUACCUUGACGGUACCUAACCAGAAAGCCACGGCUAACUACGUGCCUGCCGCCGCGGUAA
RNAcentral lists this ribosomal RNA (511 nucleotides) under uncultured bacterium. RNAcentral's name for it is "partial 16S ribosomal RNA". It matches the Rfam family "Bacterial small subunit ribosomal RNA", at positions 28 to 523 of the family's 1533-position model. The record is from RNAcentral.